Long non-coding RNA from Podarcis raffonei (Aeolian wall lizard), 492 nucleotides. RefSeq lists it as uncharacterized. Lineage: Eukaryota; Metazoa; Chordata; Lepidosauria; Squamata; Lacertidae. The transcript is spliced from 3 exons. The record is from RefSeq and is a predicted model, not a curated record.
CAAUUUUCUUUUCUGAUUUUCCUUUCAAAUUCCAAGGCUCUCUUUCCCUCCAGAGUUUGAGCUGACAAGGCCCAGAGGUACAACUCAUUAACAUUUCAAAAACUUGUUCUCCACAGCCUUCCUUUGAUGUCUGCGGCAUCUUGAGAAAGGAGUCUUUAUGCCUAUCCUGACAUCCUUUGGCCUCUCCCGAGUAGGAAUGGAAGUCCUUAGAAAAUUGUUAGUAGAUUCAUAUGUGUCUGGAGACAACUUGCAGCUCAGGAAAUGAGAUGCCUCCAAUCUUCUCGUCGGGGGAAAAAGAAGAGAAAGUUGGAUGUUAAGAACCUACAGGCCUAAUGGGAUGGCAUAUUUGCUUGCUUGCCUCAGUCUGAACGGAAAGGCCCAGCUGAAGAAACUGCUUUUGAUCUUCAGAACAUAGACUCUGCCUCCUUCAAAGAACACCACCUCCCAUAAAAUCCUUCUUUGGUUUCUUAGAGCUGCAAGAGAAACAUAGGC